AGAGAGGAUAUUCUGGCAGAUAGGAAGUGGUGCGUUUGGGGACGGGUGCUGGGCAGGAGAUAUUUUCAGCAGAAGAUUCUUUCUUGGGGGGCAAGUCUGGACAGAGAGGAAAGGAGGUGCGUUUUUGAGAGGUGGGCUGAAGAUUUUGGGAAGGGAGGAGUGUGUUCCUUUGGUUUGGGAGAGCAAGCUGAAGGGUAGCAGAGGAUAGGAGACGUUUUGGUCGCUGGAGAUAUUGUUUAGGGGGAGCCUUAGAGAGUUUUGGGACGGAGGAGCAUAGUUUGGUAGGGGGAGCAGGUUUCCUGGGAGUUUCUGGGCUAGUUACAGGGAGGAAGAGGAGAGUAUGAGAGAUUUUGAGCGGGUUCCUUAGCUUGAGAGAGGGUGAGACCGAGAGAGAAGUUGAGCUUAGAAGAGAGAGCUAGUCAGAGACAGGAAGAAACACGUAGGAUAAGCAUCUUGAAGGAGGGUGCUACAGGCUCGUAUGGGUCAUUUUGGUUCCUGUUAUUUGUGCUUUGUUUUUUUGGCCCAACCCCUGCAUCUGAGCUCAUUGAUUGAUACAUGAAAUCAGGCUCGUAUGGGUCAUUUUGGUUCCUGUUAUUUGUACUCUGUUUUGCCAUUUUCUCCUGUUCCUGGCACUUGGCUGUGGUCUGCAUCAGAUUCCUCAUCCCUGCUUGAGAGAAUAAGGAACUACAAGGGUUACAGGGCAAAUAUAUAGGUUGCAGAUAUUCAGGUUUUUCUACAAGGAUAGGGUGAUUGUUUUGGUAAUCGGUUGUUUGACUGAAAAUGAUAAUGUGAGAAGGAAAUUCCUCCAGCCAUUCUUUCUAGAUUCACAAGAUAAUGGUUACAUGAAAAUUGACUCCUGGACCUGGGUAUUUCUGUCUCUGCACCAUUGGUGGAAUGCUCAGUGCCGGAACCACCCAUGUCGCUAUCACUCCUCUUGAUGUCUUAAAAGUCAGCAUGCAGGUAUACCCCAUCAAGUAUGACACCAUCUCCUCACGUUUUAUUACCCUGUUGAGGGAACAAGGUCCUUCUGCCUUCUGGAGGGGUUGGCCCACCAAGUUCUUUGGGUAUGGUGUUCAAGGUGGAUUUCAAUUUGGUCUAUAUGAAUAUUUCAAGAAGCUUUACUCUGAAAUGCAUAGUUGGUAAUCCCUUUAAGAAGAGCAUCGAACAAAGACCUCAGGUGGGUUCUCAUGCAAUUUGACAGGAUCCUUGGUUGGAUGAAAUCCGAUACUAAGGCUGGGGCAGUUCUUGAAGCUGGAGUUAGAAAAUUCAUCCCCAAAAGCUAUUAUAUUCAACUCAUUUGUCUUCUUGGAUGAUUACAAUAAUAUGGUAGUUGCAAAUGAAAGGAUCUCUAUUCCGGUGUGGUCCGUCUGGAAA
Vitis riparia (riverbank grape) is the source of this 1374-nucleotide long non-coding RNA. RefSeq lists it as uncharacterized. The transcript has 2 exons. NCBI's taxonomy places the organism in Eukaryota, Viridiplantae, Streptophyta, Magnoliopsida, Vitales, Vitaceae. The record is from RefSeq and is a predicted model, not a curated record.